AUGGUUUGGAAGGUCUGGGGUCCCCCCAAAGUAAAGUUCUUUGCUUGGUUGGCACUUCAAGAUAGAAUUUGGACCGCAGACAUAUUAGCCAAGAGAGGAUGGCCAAAUUGUGGUUUGUGUCCACUUUGCAAGAGGGUGCAAGAAAGCGGGUCACACCUAUUUUUCAAGUGCCGCUAUACUCUAAGGCUGUGGGCGUUGGUCAUCGAAAAAUUUCACAUCUUCGGGUUGGACACCUCUUCAUGGUGCUUGUUGGACUCCGUCAACGCUUGGUGGACAAGCACUUGUGACGCCGGCACGCCAAAACGUCAAGCCAAAGCCUCCCUCACCAUGCUUGUGACAUGGACAAUUUGAAAUGAGCGAAAUGCAAGAGUGUUUAGGUUUAAAAGCGCUCCACCGACUAUCUUGCUUAACACCAUCUCGACCGAGGCCAACCUUUGGGUCACCGCCGGUGCAAAAAAAUUAGAGUCUUUCAUAUCACGAGAGUAA
Molecule: ribosomal RNA, 486 nt
Filed under: Triticum aestivum (bread wheat)
Lineage: Eukaryota; Viridiplantae; Streptophyta; Magnoliopsida; Poales; Poaceae
Description: partial small subunit ribosomal RNA
Source: RNAcentral